CAGGCGGGACAACGCGAUCCAGCCGGCGGCGGCCAGCACGGCGAGUGCGGCCGGCGGGGGCAGCAGGCGCUGGCACAGCCAGUCGAGCGCGGCCAGCAGCGCCAGCGCCGCCAGCAGCGGGCGGCCCAGACGCAGGGCAGGUGCCCCCGGCCCCCCACCACCGCCCUCGCCCCACCCCCUCGACCAGAUUCGAUUUGGAAAAAGCCGGAACAAAGUCCCAAAGUUGCUGCGCUCGAGGAGCCGCCUGGCUGCGGGCGGUGCUGGGGAGAGGGCCCGUCGGUCCAGCCCGGGUGCCCGGCCUCAGCUCUCCGCCGCGCCCCCACCCACACGCUCGGGGCCGCCGAGCCGCCGCGCUCAGGUGAGCACAUGUCACUCACGCUUGUUCGGGACACCUGAGGACACGCACAACCGGCAUCCCGGUGUCCUUUGCUGAUCGCACCACCGCGGCCGCCAAGCCUGCAGGAACACCGCGGGGAACCAGCCGGUGCUC
Molecule: long non-coding RNA, 490 nt
Filed under: Pongo abelii (Sumatran orangutan)
Lineage: Eukaryota; Metazoa; Chordata; Mammalia; Primates; Hominidae
Description: lincRNA
Source: RNAcentral